Molecule: ribosomal RNA, 492 nt
Filed under: uncultured bacterium
Lineage: Bacteria
Description: partial 16S ribosomal RNA
Rfam family: Bacterial small subunit ribosomal RNA
Source: RNAcentral
GAUGAACGCUAGCUACAGGCUUAACACAUGCAAGUCGAGGGGAAACGCCAUCGAGAGCUUGCUUUUGAUGGGCGUCGACCGGCGCACGGGUGAGUAACGCGUAUCCAACCUGCCCAUCACUUGGGAAUAACCUUGCGAAAGUAAGACUAAUACCCAAUGACAUCCCACGAAGACAUCUGAAUGGGAUUAAAGAUUUAUCGGUGAUGGAUGGGGAUGCGUCUGAUUAGCUUGUUGGCGGGGUAACGGCCCACCAAGGCAACGAUCAGUAGGGGUUCUGAGAGGAAGGUCCCCCACAUUGGAACUGAGACACGGUCCAAACUCCUACGGGAGGCAGCAGUGAGGAAUAUGGGUCAAUGGGCGAGAGCCUGAACCAGCCAAGUAGCGUGCAGGAUGACGGCCCUAUGGGUUGUAAACUGCUUUUAUAAGGGAAUAAAGUGGGUCUCGGGAGACUUUUUGCAUGUACCUUAUGAAUAAGGACCGGCUAAUUCCGUG